GCACAAUGACAAAUGGAUAGUUGGUUGGACAGAGGAAAUGAUGAUCAAUGGAUGGAUGGAUUUUUAGAAAUGCAAGUAUUUUCCGUACAAACUACACAAAAACCCAUUUAAGCUAAAAAAAUAUGGCAGAAAUAGAAGAGUAAAUAAAAUAAACUCAAACAGUGAGGUCCAAAUCUUUCAUUUGACGCUGUUGUGACCCGACAUGAUCACCUUCCAUGUUGUUGCAACUUUCUUUUUUUUAAGUCUAUUUUGCAAAACGAACAAAAUAGAGUUGCAGUGAGAGGGAAGAGUGCAUGGAAGGACUAAUCAGAGCAAAAAACAGCAUCAUAUGACUGAAACUCCUGAAGCUCAUGCCAAAUUUAUUAAUACAGGCAGUAAACAAGUGCGGAGGGGAAACAGCGGACACAGGACGGAGAUAUGAGACGAAAAGACAAACAAGACUUUCGGCUCCGACCUGUAAGUGCAGCAAAACUCUUGACGGAGGAGCUCAGAGGAA
Molecule: long non-coding RNA, 496 nt
Organism: Xiphophorus couchianus (Monterrey platyfish)
Lineage: Eukaryota; Metazoa; Chordata; Actinopteri; Cyprinodontiformes; Poeciliidae
Exons: 3
Source: RefSeq, a predicted model, not a curated record